Molecule: long non-coding RNA, 938 nt
Organism: Syzygium oleosum
Lineage: Eukaryota; Viridiplantae; Streptophyta; Magnoliopsida; Myrtales; Myrtaceae
Exons: 3
Source: RefSeq, a predicted model, not a curated record
CAAGUACUCAAGAUAGGUGCUGUUGAGUUGGGUUCAUCUGGCUUUCGAGAGCUACAAAAAGUGACGCACAGCAAGCUUCUGAAAAUUGAUAUAAGGAAAAAUGACGGUGGGAUUGAAUCGGCGAAAUUUUUGUCCAAGCUCAUUGAAUGCGCGCCGGAGCUUCUUGCAGUCGAUGCUGCAUACAAUAUUAUGCCUCCAGAAUCUCUCCCUGUCAUAUGCUCGGCAUUGCAAGCUGUGACAGGUAAUUUCAUUCCAUAAAUACCUUGUAAAUUCUUCUUUUGGCUGAUACGAAUGACUUCACCAUACACUUGCGACAUAGGUAAUCUUGUGCUCUUGAACUUGAGAGGACAUAAUUUCGACAAACUUGCCAAUGAUGCUAGCGUGCUUGUUGAUCUUGAGCGGGAUGGAAGACUUCGUAUGUAGACACCCCGAUGAUGAUGAUCGCCUGCCAAAUGUGACAAUUGGGUACUCUUGGAUUGCUGUUGAGAGUAUCAGAGACUACAUUUGGUCUUAUCAGUCAUCUCAAGCGGCAUCCUCGUUUUUAGGGCUGUGCAGAUAUUUUUCAACUUAACAGGCACCGGGUUUUUAUGGCCAAUACAAGAUUCGAGCAACUUUUUUUUUCGCCUUAUGGAGUAUGAUUAGUAGGACUAUCUGUGAGCUUUUGACCAUCUGCUGUGAUGCAGUUGGAGUAUCUUUGGCAAUUCUAACUCGUCCAAUUGCGCGAAUUCUGUAAGAUUUCUUGAUCGAGAACUGUCUGGCCUUCAGUGAACCCUUUGGAGUAUAGCCUAGUCGGAAUCUCUUUCUGCUCCUAACAAAGGUUAUUACAUUGCCCAACCCUCAAAUUUUUUUUAUAAGAAAAAAUCAGCCAACCUGUAAAUUCCCAUUGAUAUCUUUCUUUAUACUAUUCUGAAAUUAAUAAAAUAAAAUAAAUUGUCAAA